RNAcentral lists this long non-coding RNA (851 nucleotides) under Populus tremula. RNAcentral describes it as "long non-coding RNA (PTRE_LNC000086)". The record is from RNAcentral. Lineage: Eukaryota; Viridiplantae; Streptophyta; Magnoliopsida; Malpighiales; Salicaceae.
UUUUAUAUAUAAUGUGAUGAAACUUGGUUCUUCGAUUAUUGAGAUCUUAAUCUUAUGUUGCAGCUCUGUUUCUUUAAUUGCAAUCGUGUUGGCACCUGGAGAAUAACAUGCAAAGCAGCGUUACAGAGGGACUAAUCGGUGACAACUGAAAAACAAGGAGGCUCUAAUGAGUGUAGCUGUGAUCAUAUAAAACGUUUGACCAGUGAUAGUCCCAACUAGAAAAAAAAAAAGAAAAAGAAAUAAAUGAUCCAAGUCAAUCUAAGUACACUUGCCGAACACAUAACUUGUUCAUGAGGCGACGAUAAUUUUCAAAACACCAAAAAAAAGAUAAAUGUAAAGUGUCGAGGAAUAGAAUUGAAAAAAGAAAAUCAUUGUAAAAAGAAGAAGAAGGGAUUGGAUUUCUUUGUUUGUUCUAACCAGAGUUCAAGGACUGGCCCAUGGCUGGGAUUGCACAAUGAAAAAGUUUGAAAGGUUAAUCCCAGAAAGUGAUUUACGCGGGAGGAGAACAGAUCUGUGAUUUGCUCUCCUUCGAACAAGGGACCCGCCAGGUUUUAAUGAAGGAUGACAAGCAGAGGUGUCUCUAUCGACCAAGUUAUACGAAGGUGUGCGCUCGACCUCGUUAGACAUCUCGCGCGAUAACGCCAGAAAGUUUGUUUUGUUCUUUCUAUGGUUAAAAAAACACUGUUAGUCGGUUUCCUAUAUAGAGAGGGUAUCCUGUUUUUAAGAUGUGGAGGACGUCUAUGUAUGAAAAAGAGAAGGGAUCGGAGAAAAAGGAGAGAAACUUCGCAGAAAAGAAAGUUUGAAGAGUACCCAACCUGAUCUUAAAAAAACAAAAAUAAUAAAUUUUAUAA